RNAcentral lists this ribosomal RNA (1121 nucleotides) under Brachybacterium paraconglomeratum. Its description in RNAcentral is "bacterial SSU rRNA". It matches the Rfam family "Bacterial small subunit ribosomal RNA", at positions 328 to 1461 of the family's 1533-position model. The record is from RNAcentral. Lineage: Bacteria; Bacillati; Actinomycetota; Actinomycetes; Micrococcales; Dermabacteraceae.
GGCCCAGACUCCUACGGGAGGCAGCAGUGGGGAAUAUUGCACAAUGGGCGAAAGCCUGAUGCAGCGACGCCGCGUGGGGGAUGACGGCCUUCGGGUUGUAAACCCCUUUCAGUAGGGAAGAAGCGAGAGUGACGGUACCUGCAGAAGAAGCGCCGGCUAACUACGUGCCAGCAGCCGCGGUAAUACGUAGGGCGCAAGCGUUGUCCGGAAUUAUUGGGCGUAAAGAGCUUGUAGGUGGCUUGUCGCGUCUGCCGUGAAAACCCGAGGCUCAACCUCGGGCGUGCGGUGGGUACGGGCAGGCUAGAGUGUGGUAGGGGAGACUGGAACUCCUGGUGUAGCGGUGAAAUGCGCAGAUAUCAGGAAGAACACCGAUGGCGAAGGCAGGUCUCUGGGCCAUUACUGACACUGAGAAGCGAAAGCAUGGGUAGCGAACAGGAUUAGAUACCCUGGUAGUCCAUGCCGUAAACGUUGGGCACUAGGUGUGGGGGACAUUCCACGUUUUCCGCGCCGUAGCUAACGCAUUAAGUGCCCCGCCUGGGGAGUACGGCCGCAAGGCUAAAACUCAAAGGAAUUGACGGGGGCCCGCACAAGCGGCGGAGCAUGCUGAUUAAUUCGAUGCAACGCGAAGAACCUUACCAAGGCUUGACAUGCACUGGACGGCUGCAGAGAUGUGGCUUUCUUUGGACUGGUGCACAGGUGGUGCAUGGUUGUCGUCAGCUCGUGUCGUGAGAUGUUGGGUUAAGUCCCGCAACGAGCGCAACCCUCGUUCUAUGUUGCCAGCACGUGAUGGUGGGGACUCAUAGGAGACUGCCGGGGUCAACUCGGAGGAAGGUGGGGACGACGUCAAAUCAUCAUGCCCCUUAUGUCUUGGGCUUCAAGCAUGCUACAAUGGUCGGUACAAUGGGUUGCGAAACUGUGAGGUGGAGCGAAUCCCAAAAAGCCGGCCUCAGUUCGGAUUGGGGUCUGCAACUCGACCCCAUGAAGUCGGAGUCGCUAGUAAUCGCAGAUCAGCAACGCUGCGGUGAAUACGUUCCCGGGCCUUGUACACACCGCCCGUCAAGUCACGAAAGUCGGUAACACCCGAAGCCAGUGGCCCAUCCUCGUGAGGGAGCUGUUCUAAG